UAGGUAAACCAGACAAUAGCUUGAGUAAAAUCAAGAGGAAAGUCCGGGCUGCUGUGAAGUAUGGUUCCAUUUAAAUAAUGGCUGGGGUAACCUAAGGGAUAGUGCAACAGAGAAUAGACAGCCGAUUUUUUCGGUGAUGGUGAAACGGUGGGGUAAGAGCCUACCAGACUUUUGAGUAAUCUUAAGUGCUUUGUAAACCCAACCUGCAGCAAGAAGACUAGGUAUUUACUUCACAUUUUUGGUCUUCGCAAGACUACUAAAGUAAUUUAGUAGCUAGAUAAAUUAUUGUCUUAAAAACAAAACGCGGCUUAUUGGUUUACCUACAAA
This 327-nucleotide RNase P RNA is filed under the name Arcobacter caeni. RNAcentral describes it as "Bacterial RNase P class A". It matches the Rfam family "Bacterial RNase P class A". From Rfam's summary of the family: Ribonuclease P (RNase P) is a ubiquitous endoribonuclease, found in archaea, bacteria and eukarya as well as chloroplasts and mitochondria. Its best characterised activity is the generation of mature 5'-ends of tRNAs by cleaving the 5'-leader elements of precursor-tRNAs. The record is from Rfam by way of RNAcentral. Lineage: Bacteria; Pseudomonadati; Campylobacterota; Epsilonproteobacteria; Campylobacterales; Arcobacteraceae.